Molecule: ribosomal RNA, 421 nt
Filed under: Paracoccus sp. VB103
Lineage: Bacteria; Pseudomonadati; Pseudomonadota; Alphaproteobacteria; Rhodobacterales; Paracoccaceae
Description: bacterial SSU rRNA
Rfam family: Bacterial small subunit ribosomal RNA
Source: RNAcentral
CCUGGCUCAGAACGAACGCUGGCGGCAGGCUUAACACAUGCAAGUCGAGCGAGACCUUCGGGUCUAGCGGCGGACGGGUGAGUAACGCGUGGGAACGUGCCCUUCUCUACGGAAUAGCCCCGGGAAACUGGGAGUAAUACCGUAUACGCCCUUUGGGGGAAAGAUUUAUCGGAGAAGGAUCGGCCCGCGUUGGAUUAGGUAGUUGGUGAGGUAACGGCUCACCAAGCCGACGAUCCAUAGCUGGUUUGAGAGGAUGAUCAGCCACACUGGGACUGAGACACGGCCCAGACUCCUACGGGAGGCAGCAGUGGGGAAUCUUAGACAAUGGGGGCAACCCUGAUCUAGCCAUGCCGCGUGAGUGAUGAAGGCCUUAGGGUUGUAAAGCUCUUUCAGCUGGGAAGAUAAUGACGGACCACAAAGA